UUGGAAUUUUCUCCAUGAAGAAAGGUUUUGGUGAGGUGGGUUGGUUUCCAAGAGGCACCAAAGGAAAUACGUUAUGUUAUUGUCAAUGCCCACAACAAGAAACACAACGAGAUGCAAGGUUGUGUGAUCGUCCAUUUCCAUAAAAAAAGCUACAAUGUUGUGGGUUGUCAAUUCAAAUGAACAAAGCUACAAAGUUCGAUUAAAAGCUAUCAUCCAAUCACAUAAUGUAGCAUAUGCAUGUGCCGUAACU
Molecule: long non-coding RNA, 250 nt
Filed under: Brassica napus (rape)
Lineage: Eukaryota; Viridiplantae; Streptophyta; Magnoliopsida; Brassicales; Brassicaceae
Description: long non-coding RNA (BNAP_LNC022465)
Source: RNAcentral